This is an RNA transcript of Rhododendron vialii, 1593 nucleotides long. It is a transcript of the gene named probable 2-carboxy-D-arabinitol-1-phosphatase, with no coding region annotated. Lineage: Eukaryota; Viridiplantae; Streptophyta; Magnoliopsida; Ericales; Ericaceae. The record is from RefSeq and is a predicted model, not a curated record. The transcript has 8 exons.
CCCACUGAUCUACUCCUAAUCACCCAGCUGCAUUUUGAACCACCACACACUAUCUCUACCAUUUCAUACGGAUAUCGUAACAAAAUUGGAAAAACCCACCGUAAAGAAACCAAUCUUUAUGCCACAAGGCAGAAGACAAUUCGGAGGAUGACUUGCAGAGUUCUAACCACGGCCUUUCCUGGUUGUUGGGCUCCUCCGAAGGUUCCGAGUUAUUGCUCAUGUCCAUGGAGAAAUCGGAUUCAAUGUUCAUCUUCUUCAAGUUCAGACGUCCCUCUUGCUGUUAGCUUCGACUUUUCAUCCUCCAUAGAAAAGCCUGAGAAUAAUGUGCCUAUCACUGGUGGAGCUUAUGAUUUCAAGAAGGCAACAAUUUCUCUUACAAAAACGUUGUUGUCUUCACCAAAGAAGGUGACGAUUGUAAGGCAUGGCCUUAGCUCUUGGAACGAAGAAAGCAGAGUUCAGGGAAGUUCAGACCUAUCCAUCCUAACAGAAACUGGAGUGAAUCAAGCAGAAAGAUGCAGGAAAGCCUUGGCAAAUAUAUCCUUUGACCAAUGUUUCUCUAGUCCAAUAUCUCGUGCCAAGUCAACUGCUGAAAUUUUAUGGCGUGGGAAGGAAGAGCCGAUAGUUUUUCUUGAUUCAUUGAAGGAGGGCCAUCUGUUUUAUCUUGAAGGCAUGAGAAAUGAGGAUGCUAGGCAAAUAUAUCCGAAGGAAUACACAACAUGGAGAGAAGAUCCUUCCAAUUUUAGUAUAAACGGUGUCUACCCUCUCAGAAUGCUAUGGGAAACAGCAAACGAAGCUUGGAAGGAAAUUUUGUUUACUCCUGGUGAUCAUUUUCUGGUUGUAACUCAUAAAUCAUUGUUGAGGGCGCUGAUCUGCACGGCUCUUGGAUUGGGCCCUGAGAGAUUCCGUGCCAUCGAUGUAAAUAAUGGUGGAAUAUCAGUGUUUAACUUCAACAAGCGAGGAGAAGCCAUGCUUCAAUCCUUGAACAUGACAGCUCAUAUGUACAGCGAUUACGUUUAUCUGUACUGAAUACCUCUGGUAUUUUUAAUCUGGCGAUGCUAGUGGAACCGGAACAAAUAACUCGCACAAAAGAGGUCAUUUGUGGAGAUGGUGAGUUCAUCUUUGUUGUUACUGCAGAGUUUUAACUGUGACGUUUGUUCCAAAGAAGAACAAGAUUGUAAGGUUUUCUUUCGUCGGGCAACCACUUAUCUCUUCAGCAUCGAUAUUUGCAUUCUGAUCUUUGAGACCAAUAUAACUCCAAUGCCUCAGACACUGAAUGUAGCGAACAAAACCAAAUCAAGUCUUGUGUGUCCUAAUCAAUUGGAGCAACUUUGUCACUUUGCUUCGUCAAUCGCUAAAGUUUCAGUUAAACAUAGAAAUUCGUAUUCCUUUUGACCGCGUCAAUUUGGGUAGAAUUGCAGCGUAGCAAGGCAUCAGGAAACUUUCCCCUGGCCCAAAGGCGGUUUUGUUUUCCUGCAAGUCUCAUCUGAUCACCUCAUCCCAUCAUGUAAACCAUAUAGAUACAGAUGGUCCACACGUAAAAAUCGGUCUCUGUAUUGAACUUGAGAGAACCCUAAUCUAAAAGCUGACUUUAAA